This 252-nucleotide unclassified non-coding RNA is filed under the name uncultured Alphaproteobacteria bacterium. RNAcentral describes it as "contains 16S-23S intergenic spacer region". It matches the Rfam family "Bacterial small subunit ribosomal RNA", at positions 524 to 775 of the family's 1533-position model. Lineage: Bacteria; Pseudomonadati; Pseudomonadota; Alphaproteobacteria. The record is from RNAcentral.
UACGGAGGGGGCUAGCGUUGUUCGGAAUUACUGGGCGUAAAGGGCGCGUAGGCGGACUGUUAAGUCGGGGGUGAAAUCCUGAGGCUCAACCUCAGAAUUGCCUCCGAUACUGGCGGUCUCGAGUGCGGGAGAGGUGAGUGGAAUUCCCAGUGUAGAGGUGAAAUUCGUAGAUAUUGGGAGGAACACCAGUGGCGAAGGCGGCUCACUGGCCCGCAACUGACGCUGAGGGGCGAAAGCGUGGGGAGCAACAGG